RNAcentral lists this ribosomal RNA (399 nucleotides) under uncultured bacterium. RNAcentral describes it as "bacterial SSU rRNA". It matches the Rfam family "Bacterial small subunit ribosomal RNA", at positions 358 to 774 of the family's 1533-position model. The record is from RNAcentral.
GGAAUAUUGCACAAUGGGGGAAACCCUGAUGCAGCGACGCCGCGUGAGCGAUGAAGUAUUUCGGUAUGUAAAGCUCUAUCAGCAGGGAAGAAAAUGACGGUACCUGACUAAGAAGCUACGGCUAAAUACGUGCCAGCAGCCGCGGUAAUACGUAUGGAGCAAGCGUUAUCCGGAUUUACUGGGUGUAAAGGGAGCGCAGGCGGUACGGCAAGUCCGAUGUGAAAACCCGGGGCUCAACCCCGGGACUGCAUUGGAAACUGCCGCACUAGAGUGCCGGAGAGGUAAGUGGAAUUCCUAGUGUAGCGGUGAAAUGCGUAGAUAUUAGGAGGAACACCAGUGGCGAAGGCGGCUUACUGGACGGCAACUGACGCUGAGGCUCGAAAGCGUGGGGAGCAAACA